RNAcentral lists this long non-coding RNA (5027 nucleotides) under Salvia miltiorrhiza (redroot sage). Its description in RNAcentral is "long non-coding RNA (SMIL_LNC006349)". Lineage: Eukaryota; Viridiplantae; Streptophyta; Magnoliopsida; Lamiales; Lamiaceae. The record is from RNAcentral.
AUUUCAUCUAAAGAGAAGCAGCAAUUACUUCCUUUCCUGAUUUCAUCUAAAGAGAAGCAGAUCUUUUACACUUUAAUUACUUCAUUUCCUGAUUUCAAAAAACAAAAAAAAAUUCUUCAUCUCCUUCUUCCUUUGGAGUCCUUUUCUGUUUCCUUCCUCACCUUGAGCUUCGAUUCAAAACAAUGGCUUGCUCACACUUUCCUCAGUUUCAUGGUUCCAAACAUUACGAGGUUUCCGACAGCUAUGAUCGACUGAGUGAGUUACUCGAUUUCUUAAUAUAUACUUUUGAUUCUUUCGUUUUUGUUUUGGACGAAAGAUGUUGUUAGGACAAUCAUUCUCUCCAAACGAUGGAAAGAUCUCUGGACCACCGUCCUCCUACUAGUAGCCAUGUUAAAUCAUGGCUGCUUUUUGCGGUGAUGAAACAAGUGGAAGAUCUACAUGUAUAUGCUCACAUCCCAUACUGCCGACCUCAACAUUUCUGUUCAUGCUCCUCCAUUACAACUCUACACCUUCAAGAUUGUUCGUUGGAUAUCGAGGGGUCUGUGCAGUUGAAUCAACUCGAGAGUUUAUCAAUUCACCUUCCGAAUUCCUUGUGGGCUGACGCCGUAGACAAAAUUCUCUUGGGCGCCCCUCGCUUGGAAAAUAUGAGUUUGAGUGUGGUUGAAAUUAAUGGAAACUUCAAUAUCCUAUCUCUCAGUUUGAAGACGCUCAUAAUCGGCGAGACUGAAAUAAAGGGAGUGCUCACGCUUUGGGCUCCUAACCGUUCUAUCAACUUUUGAGAAGCAUCUGCCAUGUUAAGAAGGUCACAUUAUCGUUGUUGAACAUUAAGGUUUGAUUUCUUGUUCGCAUUAAUAUAAUGAGAGAGUCGAAUUGACAAAUUGUGCAUAUUCAUGUCUUUAAUAUGUAUAGAUAAAUUCUUGUUCUCUUUUCAUAUUUCAUUUUCUAUGCACUAGCUAGUGCAAUUUAACUUUCGUGUGGCAUUUGAUCUAAUUAAGCUUAUUUGGGGGGUGAGGUCUUUGGAUUGACAUCUUUUUAUACUCCUUAAUAACUAUUUUCUAUAUAUCAUAUUCUCACCAUAAUAAGAAAUUAUUCUCCUCCACAAAAAUAUAAAAUAAUGGGACAUCGGCAUGUCCUAUAUCCAAAAUAUUUAAAACUUUCAAAUAAUAUUGCUAAAGUGAUGAAUUUUAGAACAAUCGAUUAGUUUCCCUUAAAAAACAAAUCUCAAUAAAAAUCUUUAGUGUAAAAUAUUGCCGCUUAAAUCUAAAAGAUAAUAGAGUCUUUAUUUUGACUAUUUCCUUACAUUAAUUAUAAAAGAAAAAAAAGUUAAUCAUAUUCUGGAAUUACAAAAUUAAUAAUUUAUUAGAAAAUAAGUAAUUUAAUUUAUAAAUAUAAGUUAAAAUUCAUAUUUUUAAUCAUAGCAUUUUUAUAUUAUUUUAUUUUAACAAAAUUUUAGAUGUUUUAUAAGCUCGUAAUGUACAUGAAUAAUAAGAGUAUUGUCCAUUCUUUAAGUACACCAUUAAAACCAAAUUAUAUACGUGUGUAUUUGAAUUUAUAGUAUAUAAUAGGAUUACUUUUAUUAUGUAUGACACUUAAUAGAAGUGUCAGUAAAUGAGUACUAUUAUGAUAUUUACGUCAAAAUGUAGUAUUAGUGUAUGAUGUAAAUGUAGUAAAAAACUGGUGUAUUGAUUGAGUAUUUAUAAUGACAGUUUUUAUAAAGUGUCAUAAACUAAAUGUAGUAAUAGGCUAUUUUUUUAGUAGUGGGAGUAAUAUUUAGACGCCUCGGUGUUUUAGUUUUAUAUAUAAAAAAGCUGGAAAUGAUUGUUGAUGCUUUAUAUCGACAACGAUUUUUAUUUUCUUACGUAAUCCGUGGAAUUAGCCACAUGCUUACUUACACCCCCAUUCUCUCCCAUUUUAUGUAUCUAUAUAUACACAGACGUUACACAUAAUUAUUUACAGCUAACCGGUGCCGACUAUAUAUGUGUGGUUUCUAGUUCUACUAUAUAUAUAUACACACACACUUGUAGUUGUAGAGCGAGAGAGACGUGUUGAGUUGAGAGGCAAAUUACAAUAAUAGAGUGAGGGAGAAGAUGCAGGCAUCACAGGAGGAGGAGAAACAAAUGAAGUCCUAUUCAUCUUCUUGGCUUGUUCCCAGCAGAUGUUUCUCUUCUCCGCCGCCGGAAAAUGGAUUCGACGAAGCUAAGCCAUCCCAGAAGCAGCGAACGCCCGGUGGCUGGAAGGCCAUGCCUUUUGUUUUGGGUCUCCCUCUCUCUCCCUCACAACCCUUUUUCUGUUGUUCACUUACUGUUUAAUUAUUUAAUUUUAUUAAUCUUGCGUGUGCAGGAAAUGAAACUUUUGAGAGGUUGGCAACAAUAGGAUUGCUAGCAAAUUUCAUGGUGUUUCUGCUAACGCAGUUUCACAUGGACCAAGUCUUAGCUUCGAAUGUUAUGAACAUAUGGAUGGGUGUCACAAACUUCGCUCCCUUGAUCGGUGCAUACAUUUCACAUGCCCAUUUAGGCAGAUUCAGAACUAUUGCUUAUGCUACCUUUUCAGCUAUCAUGGUACGUACACGUAAACCUAUUUUCUACAUUUAAUUCUAAUUAAUUGAUCAACUCUUCUCAAUUAAUGAUCCAGUGCUCAAAUUUAAAAUCUGAAAAGGUUAAACCGAACUAUUUAGACCACUCUACUUAAAAAGGUAGCUCUAACUUAAAAAUCAUCGUAUGAAAUAUCCACAGUAGCUAGCUAGUAUCUUGUGGUCCACUUUUCUUCUUCCUUAUCUAUAUUUUGGAAGUAUAUAUGGAUCGAAAUUCGGGAGUCGGUAAAAUUUGAUACCUGCAACUGCAUUUAUAUCCCACACAUGUGGGCCGGGGGCCCUAUUUUUUUCCCACUAAAAUUAUGGUUAUACUUAUACAUGACAUGUGCUGAUAGAUUCGAUUAAGCCAGAAAUUGUGAUUUCAUGUCUGAGAAAGAUGUUAUUACUAUAUUGCUUCUACAAUCUGGAUCUCUUAUUCUUUACACGAUCGAUUAAUGAAUACCAAAUAUAAACUACAGACCACCAAGAUGUGUAAAUCAUUUUCUAUCCAUGAUAGGCUCAUACCUAUCGAAGCGUUAGUGGAAUUCAAAUAUGUGACAUUUGGCCUUAAAAAACCAACUCUACUACUAGUUGUUUCUUGCAGAUUUAGAAUUCCAGCUUCCAACAUAUAUAUUUUCUUUUGGACAUAGAUAGCAAUUUGUGCAUGAAAAGGUAAUGCAACCUAACUACAUACAAAUAUAUGAUAUCAAUCGCCUUCGAUCCUAAUUAACAUACAUCUUAUUUAAGGUCAAUUAAUUUGGCCCCCAAUUUGUCCAUAAAAAGCUGCAUAAUCGAUAUGUACACCCAAAAAUAGUUAGCACCACCAAAUUGGGAUGCAAUAAUUGAAAAUCAUGCAGACUAAUUCGAGAAUAUAUAUAAUGGAGAACUAAUUAGAUAGCUGUCCUUGUUAACCAAUUUUAGGAGUUAACAAUUACUUGCAACAAUCAUCAAAUAAUCUUUGCCCACAUCCAAAAUCAUGGAGAUGGCGAUGUUAAUUAUCAUGGUUAUGUACAACAUAAUUAUUGAACUAGUGCGCGCAUGCAGGGCAUGGUGACGUUGACCAUAAUAGCAGGGGUGCCUCAGUUGCGGCCUCCGCCAUGCAUUAAUCAAAAAUGCAGCGCUCCCACCAAAUCCCAGCUGGGAGUCCUGGCGCUGGGCCUCGGCUUUCUCUCCGUCGGCACCGGCGGCAUCAGGCCGUGCAGCAUCCCUUUUGGCGUCGACCAGUUCGACGCCUCCACGGCGGAAGGGAGGAGAGGAAUCAACAGCUUCUUCAACUGGUAUUACAUGUCCUUCACCCUCGUCAUGACCAUCGCUCUCACCUUGGUCGUCUACAUUCAAGACUCCGUCAGCUGGGUCUGGGGCUUCGGCAUCCCCACCGCGCUCAUGCUCUUCGCCAUCGUCCUCUUCUUCGUCGGCACCAAUUUCUACGUCUACGUCGUGCCCGAGGGCAGCGUCUUCACCGCCAUUGCGCAGGUCAUCGCCGCCACCUACAAGAAGCGUAAGCUGCACAUCCCCGACGCCGCCGCCUAUUUUGAUCCGCCGUUGAAGGGGACUCUCGUCACUAAGCUCUCUUUGACCAAUAACUUAAGGUUAGAGAAUUUAAUUAAUUACGUCAGUCAAUUUGAGAGUGGCGUCUCAUUAAUUAAUCAUGAUUAUUUUGUUUGUUUCAGGUUCUUUAAUAAAGCCGCGUUGAUAACCGAGGGUGAUAUUGGGGUGGAUGGAUCCAACUCCAAGCCGUGGAGGCUAUGCAGCGUCCAAAAAGUGGAAGAAACCAAAUGCCUAUUCAAAAUCAUCCCGAUUUGGGCUUCCGGGAUUAUCUGUUUUACCGCCAUUGUACAACAGAGCACAUUCAUCUUGUCUCAAGCCUUGACAAUGGACCGCCACCUGGGUCCCAACUUUCAGAUCCCGGGCGGGUCGCUCGGGGUCAUCUCGAUGAUCACGGUGGCGCUAUGGAUCCCCGUGUACGACCGGGUGGUGGUGCCGUCCGUGAGGAAGGUCACCAAGGUGGAAGGUGGCAUCACCUUGCUCCAGAGGAUGGGGAUCGGGCUGGUGUUCUCCAUCCUCUCGAUGGUAGUGUCCGGCCUGGUCGAGCGGAUGAGAAGGGCCUCUGCCCUAGCUCACGCUGGACCAGGCGGGACCACUACCCUAACGGUCUUCUGGCUGGCCCCGCAGCUGAUGCUGAUGGGGUUCGCCGAGGCAUUCAAUAUCAUUGGACAGAUUGAGUUUUAUAAUAAAGAAUUCCCGGAAAAUAUGACUAGUUUGGCAAACUCGUUGUUCUCGUGCACAAUGGCGGGGGCGAGCUAUAUAAGUGCGGCGUUGGUGAACAUCGUGCACCACACAACUGCCACGCGCGCCCAUCCCGAUUGGUUGACCAAAGAUAUUAACCAGGGAAGGCUCGAGAACUUGUAUUUCUUGAUCGCCGGCUUGGGCGUCUUGAAUUUCGGAUACUUUAUUUGGG